UAGAAUGACAAAACAAGUGUUUAAACAAAAAAUAAAAAUAGAACACACAUCUGAAAUAAGUUUCUGACAGGUUUCAGUUAAAAAAGGGGAGGAUUCAGCAUCAACGGAUUUGUCUUGUUUGACUAUAGAUGACAGAAAAAUAAGGUGAAACGGAUACAUGCUAAACAGUCAUGACAAACAAUGUCCAAUGGUGUAGUCGUGUUUCCUAGAUAUUAACUACUGGUUUUAGCUGAAACAGUCUGAAUGACAAGUCUGCAUUUCAAAGAAGCUCUCUUCGUGGUAGUAACAUGUUUGUAUGUCCGAAAUGCUAAAUCUGUAUCCUGUCCUCGAUGAACACGAUCAAUGGCAUUUUCACUCCUAUAUAGAGUCGUGAUAACACUACUUGCUCAUCAGCAUAGCCACAAAUACCAAAAUCGACGACGAACUGGGGCAUUAAUUAAACCGCAGAGAAUCAGCUUGUUACCUCGGCCAAAAGGGGCCAGCUUCCAGCCGCCGCGGACCCCGUGCGCGGGGGGUGCGCCGAGAGGGCGCUCGCCGCUCAGGACGGGAACGCCGCCUCUGGUCGGCGGGCAUUGAACUCCCAUGGAGCAGACGGGCGGCUGCGGGACCGAACGCGUCCCAUCCGGACGGAAUCCGCGCUUCCUCUCCCGCGCCGACGCCACCGGGGCGCUGCCUUCCCUGCGCGCCCACGCUCCGUUCUGCGUUGUUUCCCUCUGCCCCAUGCUGUCCCCCUCCGCGGACUUCGCCGCCGGCGACGAUUUCCACCAGUGCUUGGGGGAGCUUCGCUAACAUGUUAUUUUGUCGAAUUAUUCAGAGAAG
RNAcentral lists this long non-coding RNA (819 nucleotides) under Oryza brachyantha (malo sina). Its description in RNAcentral is "long non-coding RNA (OBRA_LNC002796)". The record is from RNAcentral. Lineage: Eukaryota; Viridiplantae; Streptophyta; Magnoliopsida; Poales; Poaceae.